ACUCAAAUGAAUUGACGGGGGCCUGCACAAGCGGUGGAGCAUGUGGUUUAAUUCGAUGCAACGCGAAAAACCUUACCUACCCUUGACAUCCUUGGAAUCUUGCAGAGAUGCGGGAGUGCCGAAAGGAACCAAGAGACAGGUGCUGCAUGGCUGUCGUCAGCUCGUGUCGUGAGAUGUUGGGUUAAGUCCCGUAACGAGCGCAACCCUUAUCUUUAGUUACCAGCGAGUGAAGUCGGGAACAUUAAAGAGACUGCCAGUGAUAAGCUGGAGGAAGGCGGGGAUGACGUCAAGUCCUCAUGGCCCUUAUGGGUAGGGCAACACACGUGCUACAAUGGACGGAACAGAGGGAAGCGAAGCCGUGAGGUGGAGCAAAUCCCAGAAAACCGUUCGUAGUCCGGAUUGGAGUCUGCAACUCGACUCCAUGAAGAUGGAAUCGCUAGUAAUCGCGAAUCAGCAUGUCGCGGUGAAUACGUUCACAGGCCUUGUACACACCGCCCGU
Molecule: ribosomal RNA, 499 nt
Filed under: uncultured bacterium
Lineage: Bacteria
Description: partial 16S ribosomal RNA
Rfam family: Bacterial small subunit ribosomal RNA
Source: RNAcentral